This 572-nucleotide ribosomal RNA is filed under the name uncultured bacterium DGGE band PSBAC-7. RNAcentral describes it as "partial 16S ribosomal RNA". It matches the Rfam family "Bacterial small subunit ribosomal RNA", at positions 356 to 921 of the family's 1533-position model. The record is from RNAcentral.
GGGGAAUAUUGGACGAUGGGGGGAACCCUGAUCCAGCGAYGCCGCGUGWGUGAAGAAUGCCUGAGGGUUGUAAAGCACUUUWGUUGGGGARGAAUAKYACCGCAUGAAGAGUGUGUUAUUUGGACCGUACCCAAAGAAUAAGCACCGGCUAACUCCGUGCCAGCAGCCGCGGUAAUACGGAGGGUGCGAGCGUUAAUCGGAAUGACUGGGCGUAAAGGGUGCGUAGGCGGUUAUACAAGUUAGCCGUGAAAGMCCUGGGCUCAACCUGGGGAGUGAGCKUUAAUACUGUAUGMCUUGAGUAUKACAGAGGGUAGUGGAAUUUMUGGUGUAGCGGUGAAAUGCGUAGAUAUCACAAGGAACACCGGUGGCGAACGCAGCUACCUGRGUCAAUACUGACACUGAGGCACGAAAGCGUGGGGAGCGAACAGGAUUAGAUACCCUGGUAGUCCACGCUGUAAACGAUGUCAACCAGCUGUUUGGGCUAUAGAAUGUCUAUUAGCCAAGCGAACGCGAUAAGUUGACCGCCUGGGGAGUACGGUCGCAAGAUUAAAACUCAAAAGGAAAUUGGGCCG